GUGGGCGUGGCGCAGCGGUAGCGCAGUGGCUUGUGGUGCCAUUGGUCGCGGGUUCGAAUCCCGUCGCUCACCCA
Molecule: transfer RNA, 74 nt
Filed under: Candidatus Kerfeldbacteria bacterium
Lineage: Bacteria; Candidatus Kerfeldiibacteriota
Description: tRNA-His
Rfam family: tRNA
About the family: Transfer RNA (tRNA) molecules are approximately 80 nucleotides in length. Their secondary structure includes four short double-helical elements and three loops (D, anti-codon, and T loops).
Source: RNAcentral